AUUGAAGAAUUCAAUGCCGAAUGAAUUCAAAUACCACAAAGAAGACGAAGAGACCUUUGAAUCGUCUCACAAUGCUUUUCGGUCAGCUUUUCCAAGAGGAUUCUAGUGGGAAGUGAUCAACGUGUAUACUGGCCCUCCCGUUGUGACAUACAAAUUUAGGCAUUGGGGUUUCUUUGAAGGACCAUUGAAAGGACAUGCACCUACUGGUGAGAUGAUACAGUUCUACGGCAUUGGCAUUAUGAAGGUCUAUCUCCCUCUCUCUUAUAUAUACACAUAUAUCGUUUUCAUUUAUGUGACAUUUUGUUAAGGUUCAAAAUUUAACUAAAACAAGACUUUAAAAUUUAUGAUUUUAUACAAAACUUAGAUAUAUUAGGGUUGCAAAUUAUGUAAUUACAGGUAAAAUGGCAAUCUCAAACUUUAGAUUAAAAUUUGCACAUACUAAAUAACCUUGAAAAUAGUUGAUCUUGUACAUUUGGCCACACUUGCCUUAGAUAAACUUUUACGGUCAAAACUCAAACGUGUUGCCCUUGGAACAAAAAUUUUGUCCAUGAGUUCAAGACCACAUAUUUACUAGGUCGUUCAUGUAAAUGAUCACCUCGGCUAGAAUCUUAUUGAGUCACUUAGAAUUAGUCCAAUAUAAAGAAUUAAAGUUCACAUACAUUAGUAUAAAACUUAUGAGUUUAACUAACUAUUUGUUUUUGUAUAUUUGCAGGUAGAUAAAUAUCUAAGAAUGGAGGAAUUAGAGUUAUACUAUGAUCCAACAGAACUUUUUGUUGGACUACUCAAGGGACCAAAAAUAUCUGAAUCUAACAUUGAGCAAGGCCAGGAUGAUAAUACCACCACUCAACAGUGCCCAUUAUUCAACCACAGCUAAUUAUGUCAAAUUUCACUUCUUCAAUAAAAUUUUGGUACUUCCCAAAUAGCAAUGUUUUAAUAAAGUGUAUGCAACUCUAUUUCCAAAUAGUCAUGUUAUAAUAAAGUGUAUGUAACUCUAUUUCCAAAUAAUCAUGUUUCAAUAAAUUUUAUGCAACUCUUUAUAUUUUUUCAGUAAAAAAACUUUCUCUAUUUACAUUUUUCUUGAUAUGAUGAUUGUCUUUCAUUUUUCCUGUAUACAUUAAGAUAUGCCUACUCUUCUUAAGCCAUAAGGAUUAUUAUGAAAAAUGAGAAAAGUGAACUUAAUUGAAUCGAUUCGUUUGAUUUCAAACUAAAUUGGGUUGAUGCAAAAAUCUUACUUACAUCUUUGGUGUUUCUAUCAAUCAAACAAUUAUAUAUACUCAAGCAAAGAGAAUACAAAGAAGAAAAAAAUAGCCAAAUGGACAUUUGGAGAUGCACACCAUUGAAUUACCUCCCUCCACCCGCCCCUCCCCCUUAAUUCCUUACUCCCCAUCCUAUCACGAUCCAAAGGGUUGUGAAUGACAUAAGCAAUUUUCUCAAAUGCAAACUUAGUUCCCUCACCACAAAGAUAACCCUAUCGCUCACAUAUAAAUAUUUGUGUAUGAGGGACAAUAGGAAACACUCUCUCAUAAUGAAAUUCAAACCAUGCAUACAUAACUCAUUAUUUUGUCCUUAUUAUUUUGGCACCAACUUUACAAACAAUAAGACUAGGAUUACUAUAUAUAGGUUUUUCUUAACUCAUAACAUAGGCUUGAGCCAAAGGUAGGAUACAUUUGGGGGCAAUGACUACGCCCUCCUUGUUACCCUUUUUACCUUGUUUUCCUUUCUUUUGUUAGACAAUCUUUUCUCUUCCUUUGAGUCGUUAAUUAAUAAUAUUUCGAAUGUGACUCCCCUUCCUUUCUCUGUUUUCAUUCACUAUUCCUUUUUUUCAAUUUGAAGGUAAAUACAUUCAAACUAUCUUAAUACAUCAUAUCCACAUGUGUUGAUCAUUUCUAACCUAUAUUUUUCAUACUCCAUUGUACUUUUCUUAUAUACUCAUGGUAGUCACCCUCAAUUUAGGCAUUUUCAUGAGUGGGUACAUGAUGUCUAAGGAGGGACAGGGUCUAAGGAAGGUAAACAUAUGACAACAAACAUGCUUUCAUUUAGGCUCAAAAUUAGGGACAGGGUCUAAUUUUGUGAGGCAUUUUUACCUAUGUAGGAAAAAUAGGACAAUAAAUCUGUGAAAUUAGACUCAUUGCUUAACAUCUGGUGCAUGGGCAAUUUAAUUUUGCGGGCAUACUCUGAUACCAUGUAAAAUUAGGUCUUAGGCCUAACUCACACCCUAAAAGCUAGCUCAAAGGGAGGAAGAUUGCCCAAACAUUAUAAGGAGUCCACCCAUCUCAUUAACCAACGAUGUGGAAGUUUUGUUAUUCUUUAACAAAAUCAGGUGGAAAGCAUAUGGUGGUAGAUAAAUUAUCUUUUCUCUUAGCUUACUGGUGGUGCGUCAGAUCGAGGCAUCAUCAUGAGUUAUUUUGAGUUGCUUUCAUAAUUUUGUGUUAACAGUUUGCUAUGAUAUUAAAGUUACAUAGCUCAAACAAUUCGUAAAAAUCUAAUAACAUAGAGAAAUGUCAAUGUCAUUCAAGUUUGUAAAAUCCAAUUUUUCUUCUGUUAGAAAUGGUUUAAUAUAUGAACUCCACUUUAGACGAAUUAUAAAUAUGUUUUUGAAAUCUAAUACGUACAUAUACUCUUUAUUUACAUAUGUUGAUACUGAAAUCUAUUUUUUAUUUUAUGAAUUCAAAUGCAUUAUAUUAUAGGACAAGUUCUUCCUAGCUAGUUUUUUCGAUGUAUAAAUCUUCUACGUAUUAUUGUUAGUAUCUUUGUGUAAGAAAUUUAUUUUGCAGCGAAUUCUGGACUCUUUGGGAACAUACCUAAAACUAUCAUGAAGACUAUAAAGUCUAGUUUGUUUCAGUUUAAUUAUAUUUUCGAAGCUAAAUUACAACACAAGACCAUUGGGCUGUCUAGAUAUACUACUUUAAUAUAUUAUUAGUGUGAUUAUCUCAAGCUACUCACUUUUCAUGCUAAUGUUGUUUCUGAAACUAUUAGGUACUUGCUUGCAUAUAGCUAGAAGGUGUAUGUACAAGCUAAAAGAAAGGACUACUUGAUGCAUUUGUUUGGUCAAUGAUUUGAGCUCUUCAAGUUGUAGUAGGAGUAUAAUUUAUGUGCUAAAAAACUAAACUUGAACUCUCAAUAUAUGUUGGACUUUUUCAACUACUAUCUUGAAACUUUUGUUUACUUUUAUAUCGUUGUAUCGUAUUUCUAAAUAAGUUUGAAAUGUUUGUUAAUUCGUCACUUGUACAAAUUGCUUGAUCAUUUUGCAUUCGUGUUGGACCUUUGUCCUUUUUGUGGCUUUGACUUUAAUUUGUCAUCAUAUCGCAUGCCUCUUGUUUAGAAUUUUUUGUCAUCUUGACUUUGAAUUUGUGGUUCAUCUAAGUUAUGGAAAUUGUACACAAACUAGAAGUCAUUUUAAACAUUGUUCUUGAUUUCUUGAUGAUUAUUGGGUUUCAGCCCUAUUUAUACUAGGCUUUGAUCCUUCUCAAUAUUUGAUUAUGCUUGAUGUAAUAACAUAACAUAUAUAUUGAGCAAAACAUGUUAGUAUUUGACAUUAUGUGAAAUAGUUACAUGAGCUUUCUUGAACUCGAGUCUUUAAAAGUUGAAAUUGAUACUUUUUCAAAGUCUUGUAUGAAGUGAUGUAUAUAGACAUCUAUAUUUUGUAAUAAUUAUGAGAAUCGUAUGUAAUUCCUAUAUUACAUCUAUACAUAUAUAAAGUAAAUUUGAAUCUGGUGACUUAUUGGCUGCUUUGAAGUGUGUAACUCAGGUCGUGCAGUGUAUUGAAGUCACGUUUUGGUUAUAAUAUAGUAUAAUGGAUUCAAGUCAUGCAACUAGUAUACUUCUUUAAUAUUCAAAAGUUUAAAAAUAGUUUAAAACAGUAGGACCCUAAUGUUGUGUUGAAUAAUAAAGAAAAACAAUUGGAAGGUGCUUAAUUAUUUGAGAAAAGACAUAAAGUUAAAGUUGCCUCAAAUUUUCAAAAAAACAUCUUAACUUUGCAAUUGUCCUAUUACUCCACUAGACAAUUUUGAAUAGAUAUUAUUAUACCAUUUUCAAUCAACCCCAAAUUUUAAGAAGGAAGUGAGUUCACACCCAAAUUAUUACAUGACACGUGUUAAUUUAAUUAAAAAUAUUUUUUUUUCAUUUUAAAUUUUUCCUUUUAUCUUUUUCUUUCUUUAUUUCUCUCUAUCUCUCUCUCUCUCUUACUUUUGAAUUUAAAUUUUGAUAUAUCUAAAUUUCAUUUCAUCUUCCACCUCCCACUUUCAAGUGAUUCAUCUCUUCAUUUUCUUUUAUUUUCUUCUCCUCCCAUCCUCCAUGUCAAAUUGAAACUCACUUCCAUUUUUUUCUUCUUCUUCUUCUCCCGUCAAAUUCUUCAUAAAUUCAUACUAUUAUUUAAAGUUUAUUGAAUUAUUGAUAACAAAAUUAAUUAUUUUUUAAAAAAUUUAAAAUUUCGAAGCUAUCAUCAACUACUCAUUUUCAUAUAAAUUUAAAAUUGAAAUGAUAAUUUUAAAAGAAUCAAUUAAUUUCUCAAAAAUUGAAAGAACUUAAUUGAAUCGAAUAAAAAACUGUAUGAUACUUCCUAAUCAUCUUGAAAUCUAAUCAGUUUAUCGAAUUAUUUGAAAUGUAAGAAAAUAUUUAGAUAAAAUUUUAAAACUAAAGAGAGAAACUAAUAGUAAAAAAAAAAAAAGGAAGGUGAAGUUGUGAUAACAAUGGUGACAUUAAAAUGAAUGGAGAUGACAAUGAAUUUUUUAAAAGAAAGCAGAAAGAAAGAGAAAAAUAGUUAAAAUAAUAAGAAAAAUAAGAAAAUAUAUUUUAUAAUAAAAUAUUGUAAAAAUAAAAUUAUAUUAGUUAUUUUAGGCUGUCUACUCUCUUUAAGAGAGUGCACACCACUCUCUAUGUCAGAUGGACGAAAAAUGAUAUAAUUAUAUCCAUUCAAAAUUGUUUUGUUGGGUAAUAGGACAAUUGCAAAGUUAAGUGGUCUUUUAAAAAUUCGGGACGACUUUAGUGAUGACUUUAUAUUUUUUCUCUAAUUAUUUUGAUAUUCAUUUUAAUGUGCAAUUGAGUCUUCAAUAAACUUUUAAGAUCUUUAAGAAUAGGCCUAAUUUCUACCAUUAAAUUAUAAGUGAAUAUUUUAUUUAUUUACUUAUUUCUAAAAUUAGUCUUUUAAACGUUACGAGUAGUAGAUUAGUUUUUGUUUUGCACGUGACAUACAAGGUCGCUACAUAUAUUGAGAUAUCAACUGUUGCAUUUAUAUUGUUGGAUCAUCACCUCCUUCAAUAUGUCAUAUUAUACAAUAUAUUGGACCAUCACCUUCUUCAGCGAGAUAUUAGAUCGGCACCUCGUUCAAUGUGACAUAUUAUACAACGUUGAACUGUUACUUCCUUUAACGUAACAUAUUAGAUUAUGUUGGAUCAUCACCUCUUUCGAUAUGACAUAUUAAUGUUUAAUUAAUACUUGUCUACUCCUUUCUUUUCUUUGAAAUUUUUGGUUUCAAAUGCAUGAGAUAAUGACUUUUGUUUUGAUUAUAUAAUAUUCCUUAUGUCCUCAAUUAUUUGUCCAUUUUUUCUUUUGUAUUUGUGUCUAAUAACUUGUUCAUUCUGACAAAUUAAAAAAAGAUUUUUUUUUACCAAUUAUACCCUUAAUUAUUUUUUUUGAAAAAUGUAGAACUUCUUGAAAAUAUUAAAUUUUUCAUUCAUCAACUUCAUAAUUACAACAGGGGUAAAAUGAUAAAUUCACCAUGUCAAUAAUUAUUUUCUUAAUAGGUGUGCCAGUUUAAAAGUGGACAAGUUAUUAAAGACAUAUGGAGUAAUAAUUAAAAACCCUUAGAAAGCGAAAUAAUUACUUUAUUAUUAAGGAAAAAGAGACGGAUAUAUCCCCGAACUUUAAUAAAUGGUAAGUCCAUGCCCUCCGUUAUACUUUGGAUCAACAUAAGCCCCUACCGUCCAAUUAAAGGUAAACAUAUACCACUCUCACUAAUUUUUUACACGUGUCUUAAUCCUAUUAAACUAUCCGUAUAAACUUUUUUUAACCCAUAAAUCCACUAUCCGCCCCAUAACCGAAUACUAACCCAAAUAAAGCAUGACUUAUAAUAUCCCAUUUCUAGGUCCACCUGAUGAAGCAGGAGGGUCUCAAUAAUGAAAUCCUCCCAAUCAACAUCAAAUUUCAUUUUCCUUUUUCCUUCUUCCAACAUUUACGUGUUCGAGGAAACUAUACUUUUGCAUAAUUAUAUUUUCAUAGGCCAAGCAACCACUAUCAAAAGAAGGAGGCAUAACAUAAAAUUUCAUUUUCCUUUUUCCUUCUUCCAACAUUUACGUGUUCGAGGGAAUUAUACUUUUGCAUAAUUAUAUUUUCAUAGGCCAAGAAACCACUAUCAAAAGAAGGAGGCAUAACAUCAAAUUUCAUUUUCCUUUUUCCUUCUUCCAACAUUUACGUGUUCGAGGGAACUAUACUUUUGCAUAAUUAUAUUUUCAUAGGCCAAGCAACCACUAUCAAAAGAAGGAGGCAUAACAUCCAAAUUCAUUUUCCUUUUUCCUUCUUCCAACAUUUACGUGUUCGAGGGAACUAUACUUUUGUAUAAUUAUAUUUUCAUAGGCCAAGCAACCACUAUCAAAAGAAGGAGUCAUAACAUCAAAUUUCAUUUUCCUUUUCCUUCUUCCAACAUUUACGUGUUCGAGGGAACUAUACAUUUGCAUAAUUAUAUUUUCAUAGGCCAAGCAACCACUAUCAAAAGAAGGAGGCAUAACAUCAAAUUUCAUUUUCCUUUUUCCUUCUUUCAACAUUUACGUGUUCGAGGGAACUAUACUUUUGCAUAAUUAUAUUUUCAUAGGCCAAGCAACCACUAUCAAAAGAAGGAGGCAUAACAUCAAAUUUCAUUUUCCUUUUUCCUUCUUCGUGUUCUAGGGAGCGAUACUUUUGCAUAAUUAUAUUUUCAUAGGCCAAGCAACUACUAUCAAAAGAAGGAGGCAUAACAUCAAAUUUCAUUUUCCUUUUUCCUUCUUCCAACAUUUACGUGUUCGAGGGAGCUAUACUUUUGUAUAAUUAUAUUUUCAUAGGCCAAGCAACCACUACCAAAAGAAGGAGGCAUAACAUCAAAUUUCAUUUUCCUUUUUCCUUCAUCCAACAUUUACGUUUUCGAGGGAACUAUACUUUUGCAUAAUUAUAUUUUCAUAGGCCAAGCAACCACUAUCAAAAGAAGGAGUCAUAACAUCAAUUUUCAUUUUUCUUUUUCCUUCUUCCAACAUUUACGUGUUCGAGGGAACUAUACUUUUGCAUAAUUAUAUUUUCAUAGGCCAAGCAACCACUAUCAAAAGAAGGAGGCAUAACAUCAAAUUUCAUUUUCCUUUUUCCUUCUUCCAACAUUUACGUGUUCGAGGGAACUAUACUUUUGCAUAAUUAUAUUUUCAUAGGCCAAGCAACCACUAUCAAAAGAAGGAGGCAUAACAUCAAAUUUCAUUUUCCUUUUUCCUUCUUCCAACAUUUACGUGUUCGAGGGCCAAGCAAUCACUAUCAAAAGAAGGAGGCAUAACAUCAAAUUUCAUUUUCCUUUAUCCUUCUUCCAACAUUUAUGUGUUCGAGGGAACUAUACUUUUGUAUAAUUAUAUUUUCAUAGGCCAAGCAAUCACUAUCAAAAGAAGGAGUAUAAUAAUUGAUUUAUUCCACUUGAUUUAUAGGCCAAGGAAACUAUACUUUUGUAUGAUGAUUGAUUUAUUCCACUUGAAAUAUUAUGUGCAAAGAAUUCUUAAUAAUUUUUGACACUUUUUAUUAUGUACAUAGGUAGAGGAAGGAGAAAUAAAGGGAGAACAAAAUAAUAAGUAGUAAUAUCAAUAGAAUGAGUUAGGACGGGGCAGGUGGGUUAAUUUUUACCCCGCCAUAGAUUCAACACACCCUACCAAACCCCAAUUAAUAUUUUUUUGUUUUUCAAUACCCACCCCACCCCUCCCUAAUUAGCCCUGCCCCACACCACCCCAUUUAGCUCCUCUAUUUUGUUUUCAAGUUCACAACGGUAAUUUAGAAAAAUUCAAACUAAUCAAAAUGUAACCAAUGAAGUUUUUAUUCUUGUUGGAUUAAGAGUAUUUCAUUAUUAUUAUUAUUAUUAUUAUUAUUAUUAUUAUUAUUAUAGUAUUAUAAAAGUUUGUAAUACUACACAAAAUUACCAAAAUUAGUCGUCAACUAAUAGUGAAAACAUUGUAUAAAUGGUUCUAAUUAGUAUUAAUAUAUAAAAAUUUCAACCCAAAAUUUGGCUUGCUUGGCCCAUUUAGAAUUUGAGUUGUGAUUCUCACGCCCUACCCUAUCCUACGAAAUAACUGAUUUCUCUAUAGAUUUUGAAAAUCUAAUUUUAAGUUUCUAUUUCAAAUCAAUGAUUGUUUAUGAUAUCAACACAUUAUUCAAAUCGUGAUUUUAAAUCCCAAAAUUGUCCAAAAAUUAGAUUUGGAAUUCCAAAUUGGAACUUUGAUUUGGUUUAAAAUAUGAACUUGACCUAUCAUUUAUAUUUUAAAUAAAAAGAGAUUCAUAAUUUUAAAUUUUGUAAAAUAUAAUAAUCAUUCUCGGUGUGAAGAGAUUGUUCGUAUAAUAUGAUGAUUUUAUAAAAGAAUAAGGAUGAUGCACAUGUACCCCUUCAACUUAUGCCCGAAAUCAGAGACACACUAAUACUAUACUAAGAUCCUAUUACCCACCGGAACUUAUUUUAUUAAUAAUUUUCUAUUCCUUUUCAGUCUACGUGGCACUAUCUUGUGAGCCCAACAUUGGUUGACUUUUUUUUCCAGACUAGUGCCAUGUAAGCCGAAAAGGGGUAAAAAAUUACUUAUCAAAUAAGUUCAGGGGGUAAUAGGACCUUAGUAUAUAAUAAGUGUGUCUCUGGGAUUUCAGACAUAGGUUGAGGGGUACUUGUGCAUUUUCCCUAAAAGAAUAGUUAGUUACUAUCUUUUAAAAAUGUAUUCAAUCAAUAAAUAUAUGUAAAAUUAUGUGAAUUUGAAAGUUUGUAAGAACAUUUGAACAUAAAUAUUUAUAAGUACAACAUAUAUGGAGAUGUGUAAUUUUUUUAAUUUAGCGCAUUAGUAUUCUUUGUACCUUAUUUGUGAACGACAAUUUGUGCAUUGGUUAGAUAGUACAAGAAUUAUUGGGAUAUUUUGAAAGUUUUCAAAAUAUUAUGGGCUUUUCCUUGUAAAUAAGAAAAAAAAUAUAAUUAAUGAAUUAUAUAUUGCAUUCUAAAACGAAAUUUCAACAUCAAAUCAACAUUAUUUCAAAUUAUGAUUUGAAAUCAUGUCAAAAUGGGCCCUUAGUUUGAUCGGACAUGAAAUUUCAAAUAUAAUAGAUUAUUUAAACCUUAUAGUUGUUAAUUAAAGACAUGUGUAAUAUACCAAAAUAUCCUUUGAUCUUGUGGUUUAAAAUAUGUCAUUAUGACUUUAAAGAAAAAGAUAUAUGGAUCGGUUAGCUAGUUAGCUUUUAUUUGAAGAAGAAUUUUAUCUGAUAAUAUUUUGUUGAGUUAUGAAUUGGUACGGAUAAAUAUAACCAAGAUGGAUAAUAAAACUGGAUCUUCAAAAAAUUUAGUUGAAGGAGACUUCACACAAUCGGUGCUAUAGGAACAUGCUUUGUCUCACAAUCGAAAAAUUCAAGUCAUAAUGACACCUAACGAUACCCACUGGUAGGUAAGCAAACCCAAGGCUGGAACGGAAAGAAACAUGACCUGGUGGACGAUGGUACAAAGCUAAUAAAAUGAGUACAAACUCCAUAAAUAAGCAAAAUAAGUAAAUACUUGUGUUGAAUACAAAAUAAUAGCCAAAAACUAUAUACAAAUAAAGAUGAGUCAAACUAGAACUAGGGGCGGCUCGACGUGAUUGAGGGCCUAAAGCGAAAUUUCAAUUCGAGGCCUAAAAUAUUAACAAACUUCAUAUACGUAUUUAUUCAAAAUUUAUUUUUCUUACAUUAUUUGAUAAAAGUUUUUAGUAUUUUAAUAUUAUUAGUUUUAGGUAAGAUUUUAUCAACUCUAAAUUGAAAUACAUCCUUUCAAUGAUACAAUUAUUAUACGAAUUGUUAAUAUAAUUCUAUAAGUAAUAAGUUGACAAAUAUUAAAUAAAGAUAAGAGUUAGAACCAUAUAAUUUGAUACAAGAGGUUGAUGACUUGAUAUACCCAUUUUAAUAUGCUUGUAGUAAUGCUUGAAAAUAAAUUUUAAAAAGAAAAAAAAGAAUUUGUAACUCACUUUGUUCAAUACUUUUCACUAUUAAUUCUUUUUAACAAAGAAUAAAAGAUGUUAAAGUGAGUGAAAUAAUAUAUAUUUUUAAAAACAUUACUUUUUAUAAUAAAUAAUUAUUUUUUUAUAUAAAAAUUUUAACACAUAAUUUAUUCAUUCUUGAUAAAAAUUUGGGGGCCUAAGGCAAAAGUCUUAUUCUCAAAGGCAUAGAGCCGGCACUGACUAGAACGCCAUGAACUCACCUUCGAUCUUUAAAUGUCCCAACAGUUGUACACGAGAUCAACGUGGUUGACUGGUGCUCGGGUCUGCAUAAAGAAAAACAAAUUCAGAGUGUAACAUGAGUAGUUCCAAAAUAAUAGGUAUCCAAUAGGGAUAUCAAAGGCCAACCACGCUUGGAAACUAAAUAUACAAUGAAAAGAGGGACGUAAAGUGGCAUCAAAGAGGCAGGAGAAUAGAACAAUAGUGAUAAGUCUAACCAUGCACCACAAUAAUCUAGCAAGAAGCGGGACAAUAAAGUAUAUCAACAAACUAUAACUUAACGAGAUCCGCAUAAGCCUAGCAGGUAUACUCAUACGAACUUGAAUGAAAAUAACCCAAACGGGCCUCCAUAAGCUCGAUUAGUACAUAGAAGAUCUACAUGUAAUUCUAAGAUUAGAUCUAUUCUAGAAUUGGAAAGUCCAAAACUCAGACUCAAAUUUCAGCUAAGGAGCCCAAAGGACCUAAUAGAAACAUGUUGCAGGGAUUGAAACUCGACUAAUAAUCUAAAAGGCUUACUACGGUCAACAUAACUCUUAUGCCUGCUUUGUGUGGAUCUAAGCAUAUCGUGAAUCAUACGAACUAUAUCCAAAGCCUCUUGAAGCAAAUCAGUACCACGUGACCUAGGCUCUGAAUCCUCCAAUGGGAGAGCGACAAUGCCUACCAUAUAAGGUCUUAAAUGGAACAAUCUAAAUACUCGAAUGGUAAAUGUUGUUAUACACAAACUCCGCAAAGGUUAUUUAGAACUAGUCCACUGACCUCUUGAAUCCAGCACACAUGACCGAAACAUAUCUUUCAAACUUGAAUAGUAUGCUUCAAUUGCCAGUCAGUCCGAAGAUGAAAAAUUGUGCUAAGGUCGUGUUAGGUACCAACUCCUCCUAAGGGUUUCUCUAGAAGCUAGAAGUGAAAUGGGAAUCCGUAUCAUAGAUAAUAGACACAUGCAUCCCAUGGUGACAAACUACCUCCUGAAUAUACACUAAGCUAACCUCUCAACACUUAAAGAAGACUGAAUGAUAAUGAAAUGUGCUAAACUAGUCAACUGAUCCACGAUUACCCAAAUACUAUCAACAACUCUGGAAGUCUGAGACAAUCCCAUAACAAAAUCCACAGUGAUGCGUUACUAUUAGAACUUUGAAAUGGGUAAUCUCUUAAACUCACCACCAAACCUCAAAUGGUCGAGCUUCGCCUGUUGUCAAUACAAGCAACAGAACACAUAAUCCACAGUAUCUCUACAGAUGCCACUCCGAAAGUCAAUAUAAUUAGAUUAUUGACAUUAUAUUUCCUGCCAUAUGUACUAGUAUAAUUGUCCAUCUGUUUAGCUUACAUGUCCAGGUUUGACUUGAUACAUCUCUUAAGAAAUAAUAAACAAUAAAAUAAAUUUAACAUACCAUCCCUAUAAAUUACAAGUCAUCGAAAUAAUUAUUUACCAUGUGCAUUUUUAGUUCAUGUAAUUAUCAAUACAAUUUCAUCUAUAAAAAAGCAUAACCACACAAAGUGAAAUUCACCAAAAUCAAUAAACUUAGAGAGAGAGAGAGUAUUAAAAACUUGAAGUAGUUGAAAAAUGGCUGGUGAGAAGGAAACAACUAAAGUGGCAAUUGAUAAGUAUAGGCGGUUCCUCCAUGAAGAUCAUGUUGCAGCUGCAGAAACUAUAGAGUGGAAACAUGGUAGCCCUCCAAUUUAUGACAGUGUUAAUAAUGUCUUUGAACAAGGAAGAACCAAGGUUUGUUAACUAUUCCUUCCCUCUCUUAAGUUAUGUGAUAUUUUUUCAUAUGUCAUUAAAAUAUUUUGAGUUGUUAGUUAUUGUAUUAUUUUGUACUCUCCUCCUGCCCAUUUACUUACUUUGUGAAAUAAUCCUUACUUGUUGAUUUCAAUUUUUUAUUAUUUUCUUUCAUCAUCACUUUAUAAUCUCUCCCUAACAUUUAUUGAUUAAGGUAAAUAUGAAAAUUAAGAAAUAAUAUAUUGAUUUUAUAAAAUGACAAAAUUUGGAUCUUCUACUUUUAAUAAGCACAGGAACUAAAAUGGAAUACUAUUUUUUUACGUGGUUUUUAAAUAUAUAAAUUUUAUAUUAAAUGAUUUAAAAAAUUUAUGUUGGAAUUCAGCUUUUAACAUGUGAUCAAUGUCCAUGAUUGAAGUAGUGAUUUUAUCAUCAUUUUUCUUGUCAAUAUGAUUUGUUCUGUUUGGUUUUGAUGGUUAAAUCAGGUAUGGCCAAAAGGAUCUCUUGAAGAAACAACACAAAAUUCUAUAAAGACGUGGGAAAUGGAGAUUAAAUACAAGACUUGCGUAAACGACAUUAGGACCAUUAAUCUUGAAAAAUUUAAGCUCUUUGUUAAUGGUAAGUCUUACAAAAAUCAAUUCUCAAUUGUUUUGAAUUAUUCUUCUUAAAUAUAAAAUACAAAAAGUAUCAUUUAUUUUGAACGGCUGAACAGGAAGAGAAGGACUGUCAGCAGAAGAGACACUAAAAGUUGGAUGUUACAAUGCGCUAUUGAAGAAUUCAAUGCCGAAUGAAUUCAAAUACCACAAAGAAGACGAAGAGACCUUUGAAUCGUCUCACAAUGCUUUUUGGUCAGCUUUUCCAAGAGGAUUCGCGUGGGAAGUGAUCAACGUGUAUACUGGCCCUCCCGUUGUGACAUACAAAUUCAGGCAUUGGGGUUUCUUUGAAGGACCAUUUAAAGGACAUGCAC
This 13102-nucleotide long non-coding RNA is filed under the name Solanum lycopersicum (tomato). RNAcentral's name for it is "long non-coding RNA (SLYC_LNC001145)". The record is from RNAcentral. Lineage: Eukaryota; Viridiplantae; Streptophyta; Magnoliopsida; Solanales; Solanaceae.